GGGGGAGUGUGUAACAACUCACCUG
RNAcentral lists this unclassified non-coding RNA (25 nucleotides) under Dictyostelium discoideum. The record is from RNAcentral. Lineage: Eukaryota; Evosea; Eumycetozoa; Dictyosteliales; Dictyosteliaceae.